Molecule: ribosomal RNA, 357 nt
Filed under: uncultured bacterium
Lineage: Bacteria
Description: bacterial SSU rRNA
Rfam family: Bacterial small subunit ribosomal RNA
Source: RNAcentral
AGAGUUUGAUCCUGGCUCAGGAUGAACGCUAGCUACAGGCUUAACACAUGCAAGUCGAGGGGAAACGACAUCGAAAGCUUGCUUUUGAUGGGCGUCGACCGGCGCACGGGUGAGUAACGCGUAUCCAACCUGCCCACCACUUGGGGAUAACCUUGCGAAAGUAAGACUAAUACCCAAUGACGUCUCUAGAAGACAUCUGAAAGAGAUUAAAGAUUUAUCGGUGAUGGAUGGGGAUGCGUCUGAUUAGCUUGUUGGCGGGGUAACGGCCACCAAGGCGACGAUCGAGUAGGGGUUCUGAGGAGGAAGGUCCCCCACCAUUGGAACUGAGACACGGUCCAAACGUCCUACGGGAGGCCA